GGGUGAGUAACGCGUGAGGAACCUGCCUUGAAGAGGGGGACAACAGUUGGAAACGACUGCUAAUACCGCAUGACGCAUAGAGGUCGCAUGAUCUUUAUGCCAAAGAUUUAUCGCUUCAAGAUGGCCUCGCGUCUGAUUAGCUGGUUGGCGGGGUAACGGCCCACCAAGGCGACGAUCAGUAGCCGGACUGAGAGGUUGAACGGCCACAUUGGGACUGAGAUACGGCCCAGACUCCCACGGGAGGCAGCAGUGGGGAAUAUUGGGCAAUGGGCGCAAGCCUGACCCAGCAACGCCGCGUGAAGGAAGAAGGCUUUCGGGUUGUAAACUUCUUUUAAGAGGGAAGAGCAGAAGACGGUACCUCUAGAAUAAGCCACGGCUAACUACGUGCCAGCAGCCGCGGUAAUACGUAGGUGGCAAGCGUUGUCCGGAUUUACUGGGUGUAAAGGGCGUGCAGCCGGGUCUGCAAGUCAGAUGUGAAAUCCAUGGGCUCAACCCAUGAACUGCAUUUGAAACUGUAGAUCUUGAGUGUCGGAGGGGCAAUCGGAAUUCCUAGUGUAGCGGUGAAAUGCGUAGAUAUUAGGAGGAACACCAGUGGCGAAGGCGGAUUGCUGGACGAUAACUGACGGUGAGGCGCGAAAGUGUGGGGAGCAAACAGGAUUAGAUACCCUGGUAGUCCACACUGUAAACGAUGAAUACUAGGUGUGCGGGGACU
RNAcentral lists this ribosomal RNA (712 nucleotides) under uncultured bacterium. Its description in RNAcentral is "bacterial SSU rRNA". It matches the Rfam family "Bacterial small subunit ribosomal RNA", at positions 104 to 832 of the family's 1533-position model. The record is from RNAcentral.